Molecule: long non-coding RNA, 418 nt
Filed under: Capsicum annuum
Lineage: Eukaryota; Viridiplantae; Streptophyta; Magnoliopsida; Solanales; Solanaceae
Description: long non-coding RNA (CANN_LNC015753)
Source: RNAcentral
UGUUCACCGCAGGAGAACUUAUUUAAAGCCCUCCUAUCGGUGAGGGACAGAAGGUGGGAAUAAUGGAAUCUGAGGGAAUUUUGGGAGCAGGGGUGGGAAUGGCUUUUUGAAGAAUGGUGGAAUUGGCUUAUAGAUUGGAAUAGGAGGUAGAAAUGGCUUUUUGUAGAUUGGAAUUGGAGGUAGAAUUGGCUUAUUAUAAGGUGGAAUAGGAGGUAGAAUUGGUUGUUUAUAGAUUAGAGUUGGUGGUAGGGGUGGCUUUUUGUAGAUUGGAAUAGGUGGUAGAAGUGGCUUUUUGUAGAUUGGAAUUGGUGGCGGAAAUGGCUUUUUGAAUAUAGGGAAAGGUGGCAAAUUUGGAAAUGGUGGAAACUUGAAGUGUGGCCAGAGGAAAGCAGAGGUGCACAAGGCUGUCGAGAAUUUC